CACGGAGUUAGCCGAUGCUUUUUCUUCGGAUACACGCAGUCCGGGACACGUCCCGGGUUUUGUUCUCCGACAAAAGAGGUUUACAACCCAUAGGGCCGUCUUCCCUCACGCGGCUUGGCUGGUUCAAGAUCUCUCCCAUUGACCAAUAUUCCUCACUGCUGCCUCCCGUAGGAGUCUGGUCCGUGUCUCAGUACCAGUGUGGGGGACCUUCCUCUCAGAACCCCUACGCAUCGUCGCCACGGUGGGCCGUUACCCCGCCGUCAAGCUAAUGCGCCGCAUGCCCAUCCUCUUCCGAUGAAUCUUUCCUCGAUCUCGGAUGCCCGAAACCGAUAUACGCGGGAUUAGCCUCCCUUUCGGAAGGUUGUCCCCCUGAAGAGGGCAGGUUGCAUACGUGUUACUCACCCGUGCGCCGGUCGCCGGCAAGGAAAGCAAGCUUCCCUCCCGAUGCCCCUCGACUUGCAUGUGUUAAGCCUGCCGCUAGCGUUCAUCCUGAGCCAGGAUCAAACUC
Molecule: ribosomal RNA, 508 nt
Filed under: uncultured Bacteroidales bacterium
Lineage: Bacteria; Pseudomonadati; Bacteroidota; Bacteroidia; Bacteroidales
Description: partial 16S ribosomal RNA
Source: RNAcentral